GACGAACGCUGGCGGCGUGCUUAACACAUGCAAGUCGAGGGGGGGCAGGGGCGACCCUGUCUCACCGGCGAACGGGUGCGUAACACGUGAGCGACCUACCCGCGUGUGGGGGAUAGCCGGCCCAACGGCCGGGUAAUACCGCAUACGCUCUCGCUGGGGCAUUCUGGGGAGAGGAAAGCCGGGGCGACCCGGCGCAGGCGGAGGGGCUCGCGGCCUAUCAGCUCGUUGGCGGGGUAACGGCCCACCAAGGCGAUGACGGGUAGCUGGUCUGAGAGGA
Molecule: ribosomal RNA, 277 nt
Filed under: uncultured bacterium
Lineage: Bacteria
Description: partial 16S ribosomal RNA
Rfam family: Bacterial small subunit ribosomal RNA
Source: RNAcentral